CUCUGGCUUUGGUUCACCUUGCUCCACCUUUCUAGUCUUCACUGACGAGGCUUUAGCAUUGGUCCACCUUGCAUGAUGUUACCGAUCUUUGCUUCUCGUGACUUGAUCCAACGACUGUUGUUGCUGAUUUCUGAGAGGUGAAUGCCAAGUAGACUGGACUGCUGACAACAAAGAUUGGAAUUGCACCCGUAGAACUAUCUCCAAACAGAUGAGUAGAGCUAUUGCCUCUCGACUUCUACCACUUCUCCGAGAAGCCUCUUUACAACAAACGGGGACGAUCACCGAAAAGGACUAGUAAUAACACAGAGCUCAACAGAUGGGGGAAGGCCAAGCCUCGGUGAACACAUCUGUAUCACAGCUCCCACAUCUAUGGCUCAGGGAGCGUCAUGCAAGAGACAGAAGAAAGACUGUUAGAACCAGAAUACAAAGAAAUCUACUGAGAAACGAUGUGUCAUAGAGAUGCCUCCAUAAAUGAGACUGGAAUAAUGGCAAUACCAUGUUAACACGGGAGGGGGAAUUUUUUUCAGGGUUCCACCUCUAGACAAGGAACUGCAGGCAACCACGGACUGCUGGGAUAAGGAGAAUGAACUCCUCCAAGGACAAGCCUCCUUACUGAUUUUUCAAUGCAGAGUGGUACACACAAACAAUGAAAACAGACUCAGAAGGUUGUAUAUAUAUUGGUGUGUAAAUAUACACAAAUAUAUAUAAUGCAUUCUUACAAUGUGUUCACAUUUGGGAUAGUGAAAAGAUUAUUAUAGAUUGUCCAAGUAGAACCAUUACAAACACCAAGAGACUUAAGAGUCUAGGGAGAAGUCAGGGGAGAUUUGGCAGCAGAAGAGGAAGUACGAAUGGGGCGAUGGUGUAGGAUUAGGAAAACUGAAACUCCUGAUAUGGCAUUGGAAAGGAAGAGGACCCUGAAUGGAGGUUGUGAAAAGUGAGGGAGUGGGUUCUCCAGAGCCUCCAAAGAAGGAAGACGCCCUAUGAAUGUCUUUCACCUAGAGAGAUUGUGUUGACUCUUAAGGUAACAAACUGUAAAAUAAUAAAUGUGUGCUGUU
Molecule: long non-coding RNA, 1055 nt
Organism: Mastomys coucha (southern multimammate mouse)
Lineage: Eukaryota; Metazoa; Chordata; Mammalia; Rodentia; Muridae
Exons: 3
Source: RefSeq, a predicted model, not a curated record